This 433-nucleotide ribosomal RNA is filed under the name uncultured bacterium. Its description in RNAcentral is "bacterial SSU rRNA". It matches the Rfam family "Bacterial small subunit ribosomal RNA", at positions 958 to 1392 of the family's 1533-position model. The record is from RNAcentral.
AACGCGAAGAACCUUACCUGGACUAGAAUGUGAGGGAAUGUCGGGUAAUGCCGGCAGUCCGGGAAACCGGACCCAAAACAAGGUGCUGCAUGGCUGUCGUCAGCUCGUGUCGUGAGAUGUUGGGUUAAGUCCCGCAACGAGCGCAACCCUUAUCAACAGUUGCCAUCAUUAAGUUGGGAACUCUGUUGAGACUGCCGUUGAUAAAACGGAGGAAGGUGGGGAUGAUGUCAAGUCAUCAUGGCCUUUAUGUUCAGGGCUACACACGUGCUACAAUGGACGGUACAAAACGUCGCAAUCUCGUAAGAGGGAGCUAAUCGCUAAAACCGUUCUCAGUUCGGAUUGAAGUCUGCAACUCGACUUCAUGAAGUUGGAAUCGCUAGUAAUCGCAAAUCAGCAUGUUGCGGUGAAUACGUUCCCGGGUCUGUACACACCG